GAACCAGUACCGUGAGGGAAAGGCGAAAAGAACCCCGGCGAGGGGAGUGAAAAAGAACCUGAAACCGUGUACGUACAAGCAGUGGGAGCACAGGUUUACCUGUGUGACUGCGUACCUUUUGUAUAAUGGGUCAGCGACUUAUAUUCUGUAGCAAGGUUAACCGUAUAGGGGAGCCGGAGGGAAACCGAGUCUUAACCGGGCGUUAAGUUGCAGGGUAUAGACCCGAAACCCGGUGAUCUAGCCAUGGGCAGGUUGAAGGUUGGGUAACACUAACUGGAGGACCGAACCGACUAAUGUUGAAAAAUUAGCGGAUGACCUGUGGCUGGGGGUGAAAGGCCAAUCAAACCGGGAGAUAGCUGGUUCUCCCCGAAAGCUAUUUAGGUAGCGCCUCGUGAAUUCAUCUCCGGGGGUAGAGCACUGUUUCGGCUAGGGGGCCAUCCCGGCUUACCAACCCGAUGCAAACUGCGAAUACCGGAGAAUGUUAUCACGGGAGACACACGGCGGGUGCUAACGUCCGUCGUGAAGAGGGAAACAACCCAGACCGCCAGCUAAGGUCCCAAAGUCAUGGUUAAGUGGGAAACGAUGUGGGAAGGCCCAGACAGCCAGGAUGUUGGCUUAGAAGCAGCCAUCAUUUAAAGAAAGCGUAAUAGCUCACUGGUCGAGUCGGCCUGCGCGGAAGAUGUAACGGGGCUAAACCAUGCACCGAAGCUGCGGCAGCGACACUGUGUGUUGUUGGGUAGGGGAGCGUUCUGUAAGCCUGUGAAGGUGUGUCGUGAGGCAUGCUGGAGGUAUCAGAAGUGCGAAUGCUGACAUAAGUAACGAUAAAGCGGGUGAAAAGCCCGCUCGCCGGAAGACCAAGGGUUCCUGUCCAACGUUAAUCGGGGCAGGGUGAGUCGACCCCUAAGGCGAGGCCGAAAGGCGUAGUCGAUGGGAAACGGGUUAAUAUUCCCGUACUUGGUGUUACUGCGAAGGGGGGACGGAGAAGGCUAUGUUGGCCGGGCGACGGUUGUCCCGGUUUAAGCGUGUAGGUGUGUGUUCCAGGUAAAUCCGGUUCACUUUAACACUGAGGCGUGACGACGAGGCACUACGGUGCUGAAGCAACAAAUGCCCUGCUUCCAGGAAAAGCCUCUAAGCAUCAGGUAACAUCAAAUCGUACCCCAAACCGACACAGGUGGUCAGGUAGAGAAUACCAAGGCGCUUGAGAGAACUCGGGUGAAGGAACUAGGCAAAAUGGUGCCGUAACUUCGGGAGAAGGCACGCUGACACGUAGGUGAAGUGAUUUACUCAUGGAGCUGAAGUCAGUCGAAGAUACCAGCUGGCUGCAACUGUUUAUUAAAAACACAGCACUGUGCAAACACGAAAGUGGACGUAUACGGUGUGACGCCUGCCCGGUGCCGGAAGGUUAAUUGAUGGGGUCAGCGCAAGCGAAGCUCCUGAUCGAAGCCCCGGUAAACGGCGGCCGUAACUAUAACGGUCCUAAGGUAGCGAAAUUCCUUGUCGGGUAAGUUCCGACCUGCACGAAUGGCGUAAUGAUGGCCAGGCUGUCUCCACCCGAGACUCAGUGAAAUUGAACUCGCUGUGAAGAUGCAGUGUACCCGCGGCAAGACGGAAAGACCCCGUGAACCUUUACUAUAGCUUGACACUGAACAUUGAGCCUUGAUGUGUAGGAUAGGUGGGAGGCUUUGAAGCGUGGACGCCAGUCUGCGUGGAGCCGACCUUGAAAUACCACCCUUUAAUGUUUGAUGUUCUAACGUGGACCCGUGAUCCGGGUUGCGGACAGUGUCUGGUGGGUAGUUUGACUGGGGCGGUCUCCUCCUAAAGAGUAACGGAGGAGCACGAAGGUUGGCUAAUCCUGGUCGGACAUCAGGAGGUUAGUGCAAUGGCAUAAGCCAGCUUGACUGCGAGCGUGACGGCGCGAGCAGGUGCGAAAGCAGGUCAUAGUGAUCCGGUGGUUCUGAAUGGAAGGGCCAUCGCUCAACGGAUAAAAGGUACUCCGGGGAUAACAGGCUGAUACCGCCCAAGAGUUCAUAUCGACGGCGGUGUUUGGCACCUCGAUGUCGGCUCAUCACAUCCUGGGGCUGAAGUAGGUCCCAAGGGUAUGGCUGUUCGCCAUUUAAAGUGGUACGCGAGCUGGGUUUAGAACGUCGUGAGACAGUUCGGUCCCUAUCUGCCGUGGGCGCUGGAGAACUGAGGGGGGCUGCUCCUAGUACGAGAGGACCGGAGUGGACGCAUCACUGGUGUUCGGGUUGUCAUGCC
RNAcentral lists this ribosomal RNA (2256 nucleotides) under Salmonella enterica. RNAcentral describes it as "partial 23S ribosomal RNA". It matches the Rfam family "Bacterial large subunit ribosomal RNA", at positions 492 to 2730 of the family's 2925-position model. Lineage: Bacteria; Pseudomonadati; Pseudomonadota; Gammaproteobacteria; Enterobacterales; Enterobacteriaceae. The record is from RNAcentral.